GUAGGUGGCGAGCGUUAUCCGGAAUGAUUGGGCGUAAAGGGUGCGUAGGUGGCAGAUCAAGUCUGGGGUAAAAGGUAUGGGCUCAACCCGUACUGGCUCUGGAAACUGAUCAGCUAGAGAACAGAAGAGGACGGCGGAACUCCACGUGUAGCGGUAAAAUGCGUAGAUAUAUGGAAGAACACCGGUGGCGAAGGCGGCCGUCUGGUCUGAUUCUGACACUGAAGCACGAAAGCGUGGGGAGCAAAUAGGAUUAGAUACCCUAGUAGUCCACGCCGUAAACGAUGAGAACUAGGUGUUGGGGGAAUAACUCAGUGCCGCAGUUAACGCAGUAAGCAUCCCACCUGGGGAGU
Molecule: ribosomal RNA, 350 nt
Filed under: uncultured bacterium
Lineage: Bacteria
Description: bacterial SSU rRNA
Rfam family: Bacterial small subunit ribosomal RNA
Source: RNAcentral